RNAcentral lists this transfer RNA (76 nucleotides) under Acinetobacter puyangensis. RNAcentral's name for it is "tRNA-Lys". It matches the Rfam family "tRNA". Rfam says of the family: Transfer RNA (tRNA) molecules are approximately 80 nucleotides in length. Lineage: Bacteria; Pseudomonadati; Pseudomonadota; Gammaproteobacteria; Moraxellales; Moraxellaceae. The record is from RNAcentral. RNAcentral also lists the same sequence under 2 other names.
GGGUCGUUAGCUCAGUUGGUAGAGCAGCAGACUUUUAAUUUGUUGGUCCCGCGUUCGAGCCGCGGACGACCCACCA